CCCCUAAACGAGCGUAUAACAUCCCUUCUGCUCUAACACUAGAAACAGAAGUCAGCUGAGCGCACAACAAAGAACAUUAUGAGCUGUCUGCUCAAAUUUGCGCCGCUGUUUUUGGCGGUCGCCGUUUGCCAUGGGUGGCUGUUCGGCGACUUUGGUGGACAACCGAAUGAGCUGGAUGAAAUCUCUCUCUGGCCGCUACCGCAGAAAUUUCAGUCGUCUGCGGCCUCUUUUAAACUCAGCCCUUUCAGCUUUCAGAUCGUCCACGCUAAAGAGUCCACCGCCGGACCGAGCUGCAGUCUACUCCAGAAUGCAUUUCGCAGGUAUUUUGAGUACAUGUUUGGCGACGUAAAGAAGCAAGAGAAAAGCCACAAGAAAGCUUUCAUUUCAGAUAUUGUAGAGCUUCAAGUGCAGAUCACAUCACCUGAUCCAGAGUGCGACGGCUUCCCGAGCAUAAAAACCGACGAGUCAUAUGAACUGACAGUUGGUCAACCUUCUGCUUUACUGAAAGCUCCUAAUGUAUGGGGAGCUUUGCGAGGACUGGAAACAUUCAGUCAGCUGCUCUAUGAGGAUCACUAUGGAGUCAGCAACAUCAAUAAGACCGUCAUCUUGGAUUUCCCACGGUUUGCCCACCGAGGAGUCCUCCUGGACUCAUCUCGCCACUACCUGCCACUCAAAGUCAUUUUGGCCAAUUUGGAAGCUAUGGCGAUGAACAAGUUUAACGUAUUCCACUGGCACAUUGUGGAUGAUCCGUCUUUUCCCUAUAUCAGCCGUACCUUCCCCGAGUUAAGUCAGAAGGGAGCCUACCACCCAUUCACACACGUGUACUCUCCGUCUGAUGUGAAGAUGGUCAUUGAGUUUGCUCGCAUGAGGGGGAUCCGGGUCAUCCCCGAGUUUGACACCCCAGGACACACACAGUCAUGGGGCAAUGGCCAAAAGGAUCUGCUAACUCCCUGUUAUUCUGGCUCUACCCCAUCUGGAACAUUUGGGCCUGUGAACCCCAUCUUGAACUCCACUUAUGAGUUCAUGGCCCAGUUCUUCAAAGAGAUCAGCACCAUCUUUCCUGAUGCCUACAUUCAUCUGGGGGGAGAUGAGGUCGACUUCACUUGCUGGAAGUCCAAUCCUGAUAUUCAGAAGUUUAUGGAGCAGCAGGGCUUUGGGACAGACUACAGCAAACUGGAGUCUUUCUACAUUCAGAGGUUACUUGACAUUGUGACUGCUACCAAGAAAGGCUACAUGGUGUGGCAAGAAGUAUUUGACAAUGGGGUGAAGCUGAAAGCCGACACACAGAUCCAUGUGUGGAAAGCAAGGCCACAGUACCAGGAUGAGAUGGCACGGGUAACUGCAGCCGGUUUCAGUGUUCUGCUCUCCGCACCCUGGUACCUCAACCGAAUCAGCUAUGGCCAAGACUGGGUGGACAUUUACAAAGCCGACCCCCAGAACUUUACCGGCACAGAUUCGCAGAAGCAGCUAGUGAUUGGUGGAGAGGCUUGUCUCUGGGGAGAGUAUGUGGAUGCCACCAAUCUCACUCCCAGACUCUGUGCAGGCCCAGAGCCAGUGCUGUUGCUGAGAGGUUAUGGAGUGAUGCAAGUGUGACAGACCUCGGGAAUGCCUACAACCGCCUGGCUCAGCAUCGUUGCCGCAUGGUCAAGAGAGGCAUCGCUGCAGAGCCUCUAUUUACUGGCCACUGUCGUCAUGAGUACAAGGGCUGAUAAACUUCAGGAUUUUCACAAUAGAAAAUAUAAGGCAAAAACAGGAAACAUGUUUUAAAAGUGCAGAUAAAUCUUAACCAUAUUGGUAAUCAUGGUUUGCUAUUGUUGCACUGAGCCAGUUAUCCAGGACUUGAAUUUUUAUUUUGAAAACAAAGUUAAAUUUGGAUUUCCAAUGUAAGGUUAAGUUUUAAUAUAAGACAAAUGUAUCAAAUACUCUUAAUAAAUGUUAAAUUUGGAAUUUAAA
Myxocyprinus asiaticus (Chinese sucker) is the source of this 1953-nucleotide RNA transcript. It is a transcript of the gene named beta-hexosaminidase subunit beta-like, with no coding region annotated. Lineage: Eukaryota; Metazoa; Chordata; Actinopteri; Cypriniformes; Catostomidae. The record is from RefSeq and is a predicted model, not a curated record. The transcript has 14 exons.